RNAcentral lists this ribosomal RNA (700 nucleotides) under Limosilactobacillus fermentum. RNAcentral's name for it is "bacterial SSU rRNA". It matches the Rfam family "Bacterial small subunit ribosomal RNA", at positions 9 to 690 of the family's 1533-position model. Lineage: Bacteria; Bacillati; Bacillota; Bacilli; Lactobacillales; Lactobacillaceae. The record is from RNAcentral.
GGGGACUGGGGCGUGCUUAUACUGCAGGUCGAACGCGUUGGCCCAAUUGAUUGAUGGUGCUUGCACCUGAUAGAUUUUGGUCGCCAACGAGUGGCGGACGGGUGAGUAACACGUAGGUAACCUGCCCAGAAGCGGGGGACAACAUUUGGAAACAGAUGCUAAUACCGCAUAACAGCGUUGUUCGCAUGAACAACGCUUAAAAGAUGGCUUCUCGCUAUCACUUCUGGAUGGACCUGCGGUGCAUUAGCUUGUUGGUGGGGUAACGGCCUACCAAGGCGAUGAUGCAUAGCCGAGUUGAGAGACUGAUCCCCCACGAUGGGACUGAGACACGGCCCAUACUCCUACGGGAGGCAGCAGUAGGGAAUCUUCCACGAUGGGCGCAAGCCUGAUGGAGCAACACCGCGUGAGUGAAGAAGGGUUACGGCUCGCAUAGCUCUGUUGUUAAAGAAGAACACAUAUGAGAGUAACUGCUCAUACGUUGACGGUAUAUAACCAGAAAGGCACGGGUAACUACGUGCCAUCAGCCGCAGAAAUACGGAUGUGGCACGCGUUAUCCCGAUUUAUUGUUCGUAUAAAGAGCGCACGUGGUUUUCUACGCCUGAUGUGAAAGCCUUCGGGUUAUCCGGACAAGUGCAUCGGACACUGGAUAUCUUGAGUGCAGAACACGGCAGUGAAACUCCGUGUGUCGCGGUGGUAUGCU